Molecule: ribosomal RNA, 468 nt
Filed under: uncultured bacterium
Lineage: Bacteria
Description: partial 16S ribosomal RNA
Rfam family: Bacterial small subunit ribosomal RNA
Source: RNAcentral
GACGAACGCUGGCGGCGUGCUUAACACAUGCAAGUCGAACGGAAAGGCCCUGCUUUUGUUGGGUUCUCGAGUGGCGAACGGGUGAGUAACACGUGAGUAACCUGCCCUUGACUGUGGGAUAACUUCAGGAAACUGGGUCUCAUACCGGAUAGGAGCUCCUGCUGCAUGGUGGGGGUUGGAAAGUUUCGGCGGUUGGGGAUGGACUCGCGGGUUAUCAGCUUGUUGGUGGGGUAGUGGCUUACGAAGGCUUUGACGGGUAGCCGGCCUGAGAGGGUGACCGGCCACCUUGGGACUGAGAUACGGCCCAGACUCCUACGGGAGGCAGCAGUGGGGAGUAUUGCACAAUGGGCGGAAGCCUGAUGCAGCAACGCCGCGUGCGGGAUGACGGCCUUCGGGUUGUAAACCGCUGUCGCCUGUGACGAGGCGUGCGUGACGGUAAUGGGUAAAGAAGCACCGGCUAACUACGUG